Non-coding RNA from Cinara cedri, 237 nucleotides. NCBI's taxonomy places the organism in Eukaryota, Metazoa, Arthropoda, Insecta, Hemiptera, Aphididae. The record is from the annotation of a GenBank genome assembly.
CGAUUAAAUAUAUUUAAUUAUUAACGAACAAAUUAAAAAAUAAUAACACAUCAAUGGACCGCACGAUUUGUUAAUAGUGAAACAUAUCAAAAAAAUUCAGGUAAAACUAAAUGACUAAAUAAUAAUACUAUCAUCGUGGAAAGCUCAGAACUAAAGAAACCGAAUCUAAUAACUAAUAGCCUAAACUAAUAUAAUCUAAUCUGACAACUAUAAGUAGAGAACCUUUUCAAUAAAUAU